UGGGUAACCUGCCUCAAAGAGGGGAAUUGCCUCCCCGAAAGGGAGAUUAAUACCGCAUAAUAUGUUUUAGUCGCAUGACUUAAACAUCAAAGGAUUUUUCUUUUAGAAAUUCCACUUUGAGAUGGACCCGCGGCGCAUUAGCUAGUUGGUGAGGUAACGGCUCACCAAGGCAACGAUGCGUAGCCGACCUGAGAGGGUGAUCGGCCACAUUGGAACUGAGACACGGUCCAGACUCCGUAGGGAGG
RNAcentral lists this ribosomal RNA (245 nucleotides) under uncultured bacterium. Its description in RNAcentral is "partial 16S ribosomal RNA". It matches the Rfam family "Bacterial small subunit ribosomal RNA", at positions 118 to 348 of the family's 1533-position model. The record is from RNAcentral.